GUAUUAGCCACUUUUGCUGCUUUUCAAUGACGUAAUACAUCAUAUAACACCUUAAAAUUAAUAUAAAAUUCACUACAAACAAUAAAAGCACAUAAAAAACAUUCACUUAUGAGUUUUAUUGAACUAUGAAAUUAUUAAUUGCUCCUCAACAACAUUCACGCCUCACAACUACUCUGAAGUGGAGUAUAGAGGCGAGUAACCCCAGUGAACACGAGUUCAAGCCACCAUUAAUUAAAGGGAGUCAAACUAUACCAAAAGUAAACUAAUGAAAAGAAAAUAAAAUGCAGGCAACUCCAGUUUGAACAGUACUCCUACUACAACACUACAAGAUUUAAAUCAUUUGACUAUAAUACUUAAAUAAAUUCUCAUGAGAAUUAACAGGGGCAAGCUGUUAUUUCUUCAACAAUUCAGUCACACGUCUGCUAAUUCAGCUCUUCAUACAUCAUUAAAGGUAGAAGAAUAUCUGGAAAAUUGAAACAAAGAAAGAGGAAGGAGAAGUCGUCAACAACAAUCUACAAUCAACCUCAGCUUUGAAUUUUUUUAACCCAGAAAUGACACCAAGCUACCAAGAACUUAGUUUCAGAAGACCAAACACCAGUACACAAACCAAAACCAGCUUGAAUAAACCCAGUUAAACUCAAAAAUGACUCUAGGAAUUUCCAGAACCUCAACUAUCUAAAAUUCAAUGGAAUAGUGAUUUUGGUAGUUUUGGUUGCCUGAUUUUCAGUGUCUUUUCCGUGUUUGGAUUUUAGAUCUCACUAGGAUUCUCAAACUUUUUUUUGUUGAAUUUUUGAAUUUAAGAUCUCUCUAAGCUCUAGAUUUUGAAUUUUGAAUAUUUUUCAGAUUUUGGGAUCUCUCUGGAACCUCUACACGUUUGAAUUUCAGUUUGCCUUCUUAACUUCAAAAAAAACUCCCUUGCAAGGCAAGGUAGGCUGCCUUUUUAUAGAAAAAGCUAGGACAACUUCAGAAUUUUCUUUUACAG
RNAcentral lists this long non-coding RNA (982 nucleotides) under Nicotiana benthamiana. Its description in RNAcentral is "long non-coding RNA (NBEN_LNC031640)". Lineage: Eukaryota; Viridiplantae; Streptophyta; Magnoliopsida; Solanales; Solanaceae. The record is from RNAcentral.